GUGGGCGUCUUCUAAUGGUUAGGAAACCUCGUUGUGGUCAAACAACUCCGUGGAAAUAUCGGUUCGAUUCCGGUCGCCCACA
Molecule: transfer RNA, 82 nt
Filed under: Melampsora larici-populina 98AG31
Lineage: Eukaryota; Fungi; Basidiomycota; Pucciniomycetes; Pucciniales; Melampsoraceae
Description: tRNA-His for anticodon GUG
Rfam family: tRNA
About the family: Transfer RNA (tRNA) molecules are approximately 80 nucleotides in length. Their secondary structure includes four short double-helical elements and three loops (D, anti-codon, and T loops). Further hydrogen bonds mediate the characteristic L-shaped molecular structure. tRNAs have two regions of fundamental functional importance: the anti-codon, which is responsible for specific mRNA codon recognition, and the 3' end, to which the tRNAs corresponding amino acid is attached (by aminoacyl-tRNA synthetases). tRNAs cope with the degeneracy of the genetic code in two manners: having more than one tRNA (with a specific anti-codon) for a particular amino acid; and 'wobble' base-pairing, i.e. permitting non-standard base-pairing at the 3rd anti-codon position.
Source: RNAcentral